RNAcentral lists this ribosomal RNA (909 nucleotides) under Coniothyrium sp. CBS 423.92. Its description in RNAcentral is "eukaryotic LSU rRNA". It matches the Rfam family "Eukaryotic large subunit ribosomal RNA", at positions 38 to 964 of the family's 3401-position model. RNAcentral also lists the same sequence under 1 other name. The record is from RNAcentral. Lineage: Eukaryota; Fungi; Ascomycota; Dothideomycetes; Pleosporales; Coniothyriaceae.
GCAUAUCAAUAAGCGGAGGAAAAGAAACCAACAGGGAUUGCCCUAGUAACGGCGAGUGAAGCGGCAACAGCUCAAAUUUGAAAUCUGGCUCUCUUUGGGGGUCCGAGUUGUAAUUUGCAGAGGAUGCUUUGGCAUUGGCGGCGGUCUAAGUUCCUUGGAACAGGACAUCACAGAGGGUGAGAAUCCCGUACGUGGUCGCCUGCCUUUGCCGUGUAAAGCUCCUUCGACGAGUCGAGUUGUUUGGGAAUGCAGCUCUAAAUGGGAGGUAAAUUUCUUCUAAAGCUAAAUACUGGCCAGAGACCGAUAGCGCACAAGUAGAGUGAUCGAAAGAUGAAAAGUACUUUGGAAAGAGAGUCAAAAAGCACGUGAAAUUGUUGAAAGGGAAGCGCUUGCAGCCAGACUUGCCCGCAGUUGCUCACCUAGGCUUUGGCCUGGGGCACUCUUCUGCGGGCAGGCCAGCAUCAGUUUGGGCGGUUGGAUAAAGGCCUCUGUCACGUAUCUCCCUUCGGGGUGACCUUAUAGGGGAGGCGCAAUGCAACCAGCCCGGACUGAGGUCCGCGCAUCUGCUAGGAUGCUGGCGUAAUGGCUGUAAGCGGCCCGUCUUGAAACACGGACCAAGGAGUCUAACAUCUAUGCGAGUGUUUGGGUGUCAAGCCCGAGCGCGCAAUGAAAGUGAACGGAGGUGGGAACCCUUUGGGUGCACCAUCGACCGAUCCUGAUGUCUUCGGAUGGAUUUGAGUAAGAGCAUAGCUGUUGGGACCCGAAAGAUGGUGAACUAUGCUUGAAUAGGGUGAAGCCAGAGGAAACUCUGGUGGAGGCUCGCAGCGGUUCUGACGUGCAAAUCGAUCGUCAAAUUUGGGCAUAGGGGCGAAAGACUAAUCGAACCAUCUAGUAGCUGGUUCCUGCCGA